UAUUUCUUGCAGUGUUACUAAUUACCUAAUUCAUUUAAGAAUGUAAUUAACACGUCAUAAAACCUCUCAAAACACCCCAUCAAUGAUUCAUGAUUUUACCUAAAUAUGCAUCAAGCAACGUAAAUCUGUUCCUACAUAAUGUUAAACUUCUCGACCUAAGAUUCCAAGGAUGGUCAAUUGAAGACCAUUUUUCUUUGAGGAAAUUGAGAAACAGAGGAAUCGAAAUAUAAGAUGAGGACAUGAAAGUGAUUCUGAAAGAAGCAUUUGGAGAUUCAUUCAGUAGCGAUUGGGAAUUGGGUGAUUCAAGUAAUGGAUUUGGAAAGUUUCAAUCGAUUUUUGGGAAAGCAUUUGUAAGUUGCCCAAUUUUCCUUGCCUCUAAAUUCAUUGUUGCCGAGGAGCAGAGAUUCGAAUUCAACAAUUUCUUACUUGUAGGUGGAUUGUGUAACAAGCAACUUGAGUAAGAAAUUUAUUUGUUGAACCAUUUGUGUUAAUUUGCUAUCCGAUAAACUUCUGGCAUUUUGAAACAUGACUUCAAAUGUUGCUCCUUUUGAAUUGUAAUGUAGAUUACUGCAAUGAGAAUUGAUCUUAAAUUUUGAAAACGUUUCCAUUUGAUUUGUCAAAGAAAUUGUCAUUUUUUUGCCACAUAAGUUAUUGUGAUUUGGUAAUAGUACAUGAGAGACAUGAUAACAUGAAGGUUAUAAAAGUUUCAGAGAUCAAUAAUAUAUGAGAGACAUGAUAACAUGAAGGCUGUAAAAGCUUUAAAAACCAAGGUUUUGCAAAAUCGUUUCAAUGUAUUUAAGCAUUCAAAUUGGAUUUGGAAAUCAUUUGGUUCCAAAGUUUUUAUGCUGGGAUUUGAUACCCAAUAAAUUAUGGGCAAUGAUGUUAAAGCGAUGUUAGAUAAGUUAUAUUGACACCUUAGCGAUGGGUUGGCCCAAAAAUAAUUUGGAGCCAUUUGAAGCAACUUAAUUAAGUUAAUGUUGCUUGUGGCCCAACACUCAUGGAUGGACCAAGUAGUGGUUGGUUGUUAGAUAGGUUUUGUAGCCCAUUUAGUGGUAAGUAAGGACUUGGAUAUUUUGACCAUUAAUUUGGUUAAGUGACAGUCCAUUUACAUGAGUCUUGGCCAAUAUCAGAUGACAAAAACUUGUGGCAUCCAGAGUGUACAAGUUGUGGUUUGGAACCUCCUAAGUUGAUGUUUGUUUGGUGAGUAAAUUGAGCCCGGAUUUAAGAUCUAUAGAGAGCUUCCGCAGAAUAAAUUGUGUCAUAGCCUUGGUGUUGAGAAAUUUGUGGUUUUUCGGAAUUGUCUGGAAAAGGCUGAAAAUUGAACCUAAAAAUGGGCAGAAAACAAACGAAAAAUUAGAUCAUUUUGAAAUCAUUCUACCCAAACCCAUAAAUGCAUUUUUUGGCCAAACCAGCGGCCAUCUAGGAAAAAUGAGGUCAGAUUCAAAACUAGCAGGCAAAAGCCUGAGUAUGACAAGAGGUAAUGCAACUAGGAAGUUAAUAAGUGAACAUCUUUCCAAACAAGGGAGACAGGAGUGCUUACAAACCGUAUAGCUAAGGGAGCAACUAGACUUUCAAGUAUCAAGUAAUAGAUAUCCCUUAAGCAGUUAGGGUUGGCACGUGUGGUGGCCGACGGUGGCUCGUGUAGCAGCGUAUGGAGCCAAUGCGCAGAAUGCCAACAAGGUGCGUAGUGAUGUGUCUGAAGGAUUCCGAUAGUGGUUCCAAAAGAAAAUUUCUUCGGAGAGAUGUAAUAGACCCAAUGGUGGUGUCCGUUUUUAGUUUUGAUUAUACGUGAAAUUUGGACAAUUUUGCCCUUGGACAUUCAAGUGCCGAGUGUCGUUUUGUGUUGCGGGGGUUGUUGGAAGUUUUAUGGUGAAUAGGGCGGCACUAAGUAGUGAAUGUUACACCCCACCCAUUUUUAGUCAAAGUCAAGCAAAGAAAUUGGUCAUAGUCAAAGUUAAUAAAGACUUAAAUUGAACAAAUGAUUUUUAUGGGGCUUAAUUUGUAAUUACAAGAACCUUAGGGAUUUAGUUUCUAUUUAUUGGAAUUAAAGGAGUAAAUGGUAUAUUACAGGAAGUGUGGGGACUUGAUUUGCAAUUCUAUCAUACUUAUCCAUUUAAAACCUUAAACAUAUCCAUUUUCUUUCAUUUUGGGACCAAAACGUAGAGAGGAAGCAGAGAACGAAGCUGGAUAAAAAGAGGGAGAAAAAGGAAGGAAAAAAAAGAAGAAGAAAAGAAAGGAAAUGAAAGAGGUUGAUGAUUUUUGUAAGUUUUGGUUCUUCAUUUCUUCAACUUAUCCUUAUUUUAAAGAGUUAAGUUAAUUAAAUUUCUAGGGUUUAUGAACCAUUCAUUUAUAUUCGAAGUUUAGCAAGAAUUAGAGAUUAUUAUUAUAUUUUUUAGGUAUUAAGCAAGAAUAUAUCAAAGAAAUAUUUGAAUAUUGAAAUUGAAGAAAGUUGAAUUUUGAAAUGGGGUUGUAAUUUAGAGCUUGAAUCGUUGAUAUGUUGUGUGUAUAUGAUAUAAAACACCUUAUUUGUUAUUUAUAAUAGUAAGAUAUGAAGUUAAGGUUAGAUUUUGGUAUUUAUAAGCAAUUUUCAUGCAAAAUUCAUGUGCAGGAGUUAAUUCUGAAAAUCUGCCCAGUAUAGUGCUAAUUCUCAAAGGUUCUGCUGCCGGAUUUCAAUAUUAUGGGGUUUUAGUGCUGUUUUUGUCAAAACUCUUGUUUUCAGAUUUUUAAAGGCUUGAAUGAAGUUAUAUUACAAGUGUUGAAGUUUAUGUAUUGGAAUAAAUUAUGUAUAGGGCUUAUAUAUGUAUAAGUUAUUGAUUUUAAGGAAGUGUGAGUAAUUUAAUGGAAUUGAUAAUGAAUGGUGAUUAGUUGAUAAAUCAUUAGUGAGGAGAAAAGAUGGAAAAUUGGAGAUGUAAGAGUAAUAUAGAAAUUGAGAAGUUGAGAGGUAGAAUUGUAUUAAUUUAAUUAUCUAAUUUUAAUUUGAGAAAGUAUACCGUUAUUUCAGGUAAGAAACAUGAAAGCUUGGAAUGGCUCGUUGCCAGAUUUCUAUCCAUGGAUCUGUGAAUGGAAAAAUAUAAAUAUUUUUAAAAUAUUUAUGAAUUAAGUAUAUUAUUAAAGUAUGUGCAAUUAUGUGUUCGAAUUAUAUGGUUAUUAUGGAAAUAUCUUUUAUUAUGAUACAUGUGGACUUUCAAAGAUUGCAUACGGUACAUUGUGAAUUAUGUGAUUUUGAGAUCGACUAGAAAAGUACCCUGAUUAUAUAUUUUUUCUAGUUUACUGAGGAGCAUUGGUCGUGUUCUAUACUACACUGAGGGGUUGACUGGGGAUGAAGGGGUCGUGAUCGUGUACAUAUAGUUCACUGAGGGGCCUUGGCCCUAUUCUAGCAUUGAUUACUAGAAUUGAUUACCAGAGGUCAUGAGACUCGCUUUCGUUCAUGGAGGGGGCCAAGCACGAGCGGCAGAUUACAGAUUUUAGUCAGAGGGUACAUUUUUGGUGGAUCACAUGUGAUGUGAUGAGAUGAUGGUAUAGAUAUCAACUGAUGGCUAUAUUGUGAUUAUGAGAUGAUAUUUAUAGUGUUAUGAGAAUGUCUCACUUUUUGUCUAUAAUUGUACGAGGCUAUUAUGUGAAAUAUUAAAUGAUAUGAGCUUGAUGUUUGAUAAAAAUGUUUAAAGGAGAAAGUAUGAUUAUUUUUGAAUUUUUUCACUCACUAAGCUAUCAACUUAUUUUUUUCCAUGAUUUUUCUCACUAGUAGCAUUGGUCCUUGAUAGCUUGAGAAGCCUAGUGAUUUUAGAGUUAGAGCCACACGAUAUAUUGAAUAAUAUGAGUCAAUUUGAUAAACCACGAAGUAAAUUUUUG
Molecule: long non-coding RNA, 3849 nt
Filed under: Olea europaea (common olive)
Lineage: Eukaryota; Viridiplantae; Streptophyta; Magnoliopsida; Lamiales; Oleaceae
Description: long non-coding RNA (OEUR_LNC004420)
Source: RNAcentral